ACUCCUACGCGAGGCAGCAGUGAGGAAUCUUCCACAAUGGGGGAAACCCUGAUGGAGCAACGCCGCGUGCAGGAUGAAGGCCUUCGGGUCGUAAACUGCUUUUAUAAGUGAAGAAUAUGACG
RNAcentral lists this ribosomal RNA (122 nucleotides) under uncultured bacterium. Its description in RNAcentral is "partial 16S ribosomal RNA". It matches the Rfam family "Bacterial small subunit ribosomal RNA", at positions 335 to 456 of the family's 1533-position model. The record is from RNAcentral.